This 659-nucleotide ribosomal RNA is filed under the name uncultured organism. RNAcentral describes it as "bacterial SSU rRNA". It matches the Rfam family "Bacterial small subunit ribosomal RNA", at positions 532 to 1198 of the family's 1533-position model. The record is from RNAcentral.
ACGCGAGCGUUAUCCGGAUUUACUGGGCGUAAAGCGCCUGUAGGCGGCCCUGUAAGUUGGGCCUGAAAGCCCCGUGCUUAACGCGGGGAGACCGUUCGAUACUGCGGAGCUAGAGUACGGCAGAGGGGAGUGGAAUUCCUGGAGUAGCGGUACAAUGCGCAGAUAUCAGGAGGAACACCAGUGGCGAAGGCGGCUCCCUGGCCCGAGACUGACGCUCAGAGGCGAAAGCUAGGGGAGCGCACAGGAUUAGAGACCCUGGUAGUCCUAGCCUUACACGAUGGAUGCUAGGUGUGGGGCCGAUGAGUUUCCGCGCCGGAGCAAACGCGAUGAGCAUCCCGCCUGGGGACUACGGCCGCAACGCAUACAAACUCAAACGAAUUGACGAGGGGCCCGCACAAGCACCGGAGCGUGUGCUAUAAUUCGAUGCUACACGAAGAACCUUACCUGGGUUUGACAUGUUAGCUGGUAGUGAGCCGAAAGUUGAGCUGACCCUUCGGGGAGCCUACACAGGUGCUGACAUUGUCUGUCGUCAGAUCGUGCCGUCGAGGUGUCGGCUUUAGUCCUGUAACGAGCGCAACCCUUGCUCGUAGUUAUACGUGUCUAGGGGGUCUGCCGGCGGGCAGCCGGAGGAAGUUGGGGAUGACUUCAAGUCACCAUGG